RNAcentral lists this transfer RNA (73 nucleotides) under Cordylochernes scorpioides. Its description in RNAcentral is "tRNA-Thr". Lineage: Eukaryota; Metazoa; Arthropoda; Arachnida; Pseudoscorpiones; Chernetidae. The record is from RNAcentral.
GUCCAGAGAUGGGAAUCGAACCCACAGUGUUCUGCUUACCUGGCAGAUGCCAUGUCCACUAGGUUACCCUGGA